This is a non-coding RNA of Phascolarctos cinereus (koala), 389 nucleotides long. The record is from RefSeq and is a predicted model, not a curated record. Lineage: Eukaryota; Metazoa; Chordata; Mammalia; Diprotodontia; Phascolarctidae.
UGUGUGUGUGUGUGUGUUUGUCUUUCCCCUUGGGUAAAAAGGCGGGGGCAGAGGGAACGAGUACACUCUCUCCGGGAACCCAAGCAAGGAUAGCGGGGUUCGGCUGGAUACUAUAGGAUAGGAUCCCCAAGAGGAUCAGGGGUGGACGGGCAGGAUAGCUGUUGGAAGCCACUGUCCGGAAGAUAUCCCUCUGAGUCGGGAGUCCUCAAGCUCAACCAAUUGCCAGCAGUUGGGUAGUGUGUUGCCAAUUUAAUUUACUUUGGUUACUCUUGGAGGACAAAGUGCAGCAGUCUAUGCAAAGAAUUCCCUGAGGAAAUUCGAAGAUGAAUAGAGAAAUUUUAUGAAGAACUUGAUAAGACCAUCCAUAUUAAAGCAAAAUAUACUUUGAU